RNAcentral lists this ribosomal RNA (1403 nucleotides) under Scaphiophryne gottlebei. RNAcentral describes it as "partial 16S ribosomal RNA". It matches the Rfam family "Bacterial large subunit ribosomal RNA", at positions 161 to 2585 of the family's 2925-position model. The record is from RNAcentral. Lineage: Eukaryota; Metazoa; Chordata; Amphibia; Anura; Microhylidae.
GCCAAAAACCUAGCUCAACCUCAUGUAAAUGCCACAACCAAAUAACUGAAACCAAACAAAACAUUUUAAAUUUUUAGUAAAGGCGAUUGAAAAAUAUUUAGAAGCUAUAAUAUUAGUACCGCAAGGGAAAGGUGAAAUAAAAAUGAAAUAACUUUAAAGCAAAAUUAAGCAGAGAUUUAACCUCGUACCUUUUGCAUCAUGGUCUAGCUAGUCCAACCAAGCAAAACGCAAUUACAGUUUGACACCCCGAAACUAGGUGAGCUACUUCAAAACAGCCUUCAAGGGCCAACCCGUCUCUGUUGCAAAAGAGUGGGAAGAUUUUCAAGUAGAGGUGAUAGACCUACCGAACCUAGAGAUAGCUGGUUAUUCAGGAAAAGGAUUUAAGUCCUACCUUAAGUUUUUUUAUACUACAUAAUAUUAUUGCAAACUUAAGAGCUAUUCAAAUAAGGUACAGCCUANUUGAAACAGGAAACAACCUUAAAUAUAGGGUAAUGACACUUUUAAUGUGACCAAGUGGGCCUAAAAGCAGCCAACUUUAAAACAGCGUUAAAGCUUCAUCACUUUAUUUAACUAAUUUCUAUAAUUUUACAAAACCCUUUACCACUACUGAAUGACUCCAUAAUCCUAUGGAGAACACUAUGCUAGAACUAGUAACAAGAAGAAGACCUUCUCCAAAAUGUAAGUGUAGGCCAAAAUGAACACCUCACUGGCACUUAUCGUCUAUGAACCUAAAGUAGUAACCCACACAAGAAAAACCUACUUAUCUAAACGUUAACCUUACACCAGAACAUUACCGGAAAGAUUAAAAAAAGAGGAAGGAACUCGGCAAAUUUUAACCCCGCCUGUUUACCAAAAACAUCGCCUCCUGAAAUAACCAUAGGAGGUCCAGCCUGCCCAGUGACAAAGUUAAACGGCCGCGGUACCCUAACCGUGCGAAGGUAGCGCAAUCACUUGUUCUUUAAAUGAGGACUAGUAUGAAUGGCAUCACGAGGGUUAUACUGUCUCCCCCUUUUAAUCAGUGAAACUGAUCUUCCCGUGAAGAAGCGGGAAUAUAUCUAUAAGACGAGAAGACCCCAUGGAGCUUAAAACUCAGUAUCAGCUGCCCUCUAAUACAUCCUCUUAAUUAGGCAGACUUGACUACUAGUUUUCGGUUGGGGUGACCGCGGAGCAAAACAAAACCUCCACGAUGAAAGGAACUAAUUUCCUAAUCAAAGAACCACAUUUCUAUGAAUCAACAAAUUGACAUUUAUUGAUCCAAUUUUUUUGAUCAACGAACCAAGUUACCCUGGGGAUAACAGCGCAAUCCAUUUCAAGAGCCCCUAUCGACAAAUGGGUUUACGACCUCGAUGUUGGAUCAGGGUAUCCCAGUGGUGCAGCCGCUACUAAAGGUUCGUUUGUUCAAC